RNAcentral lists this transfer RNA (71 nucleotides) under Poecilimon varicornis. RNAcentral describes it as "transfer RNA-Val". Lineage: Eukaryota; Metazoa; Arthropoda; Insecta; Orthoptera; Tettigoniidae. The record is from RNAcentral.
AAUAAAGCCUAGGAGUUAGGCGUUCCCAUUCCACCGGGGGAGAUUUCUGGCAAUCCAGAUUAUUUUGAAGG